UUCACAGAAAAUGCACCGCCCCGAGUGUCUUAUUGCUGUGAUGAAAUGGAAAUUUAAAUAAAAGGUCGAACACGUGCGUUCACUGGGAAGUAUUGACAUGGGUGUUACAUCACCACCAGCCAAUCAGAUAACUCCAGUCGUGUUUAUACUUCUACAACCACCUUGUCUUCCUGAUAUAUAUAAAGAAAUAUUAAGGUCUUCCUCUAAACCUUAAGGGAGAUGGAAUCAAAAUCAAAGUUCAAGAGGAUAGUAAUCACAAACGUCUCAAAACAGCUCUGAGUAAAGAUAUUGAACUAAUGUUUCCAUCGAAUUUACAUUAAAAACAAUAAUCAUAUACAUACAAUGGAAUAUUAUUCUGUCCUAAAAAAGGAGGGAAAUCUUGCCAUUUGUAACAAUAUGGUUGAAACUGGAGGACAUUAUGAAAUGAAGGUGAAGCUCUUCCGAACAUUCGUGAUCAACCAACAUGAAAUUCAUCUUGAACUUUGAUAUAUUACUCUUGCAACAAGACCCAUAAAGAAUGGCUAUGCCACUAUACCUCUGUUCUCAAAAGGAGUUGACCAGACAGUGUAGGUGGAGAAGGAAAAACUCAGAAGCACUUUUGGAUAAACUGCUCAAAGUAGUUGCACUACUUACAAUGGCUCAGCAGAGUCUUCUGCAUGAACAAAGGCAGUGAACGUGAGUGAGGUAUGAAACAUAAUGCAGAUAAUGCACAAGUUAUGCCCUUCAAGGCCAUGAAUGAUUGUGGCCAACCUUGGAAAAGAAGUCAGGCAUCCCAUGAGUAGAAUUAAAAAAAAAAAAAUGAAGUCAACUCCUGAGCCACACAGAGAAUACCUGUAUACACACUCUUCUGAGCUUCUGCAACCACGGAAAACCACGGGGGAGAUCAUGUGAACAGAGAGCCUCUCUUCCUGGUCUCUGGCAGCAUUAUCUCAUGUGAUCCUUCUACAAUCAUGUAAGGGGCCUCCUAUGACUGAUGUGUUAGUCCUGCUUUGCAAAUCAGAGGAAACCAAGGCUUAGGAUAAGUGAACUGCCUGAGUUCACACGACUGGCAAGAUGCAGAGCAGGGGUUGAAUUCCAGUCUGCAGAACUGCAAAGCUGCCUCUCAAACACCAGCUUGAAUACCAGAUAUGUAGGAAGGCUGUGUGUACAGCACCAGCUAGGUUUGGAAGACAGGACGUGAAAGUCAACAACCCACGCUCCAAAGCAAGGCUCUCCCCGCAAUUCCAGGAGCCUCACCUUGCACCGGCAGGGGCAACAGUCUGAAUCCCAACUCCCACCGGAUGAUAUAGAGGCCUGCACGUACAGCAGGUGGCAUUACAGGAGAAGAAACCUGAGUUUGGGGCACCCACAUCUUACAUGGGCAGUAACUUUGCCUGACUUUUGCCUUCGAGGGAAACACUAUCUACAAGGCUGUAAGCAAAUCUACCCUUUGCUUCAGAGGAAACACUCUACUCUCUCUGUCUUCCAAGAGUGCUCACUAUACAGUCAUCUUUGAAAGGACAGUCUGGAACAAGAUGUGCAGAAACAUGAGAGACCCGCGGAGAAGUUUCCGAUGAGUAUUGCACUCUGUCAGCCACCUACCGAGCGUGUAAACCACCAGGUUCUACCUUAGUGGGGCUGUGAAACACACAAAGCUAUGGCUGUAGCAGGCUGGCUUGAGGGACGAAUGCCGGGGUGAGUGCUACCAGAGAGAAGGCCAAGUGCAGCAGGAGGAGAGAGCAAAGAGAAGUCUCACCUGCUC
Molecule: long non-coding RNA, 1741 nt
Organism: Neofelis nebulosa (Clouded leopard)
Lineage: Eukaryota; Metazoa; Chordata; Mammalia; Carnivora; Felidae
Exons: 10
Source: RefSeq, a predicted model, not a curated record